This 1203-nucleotide long non-coding RNA is filed under the name Phasianus colchicus (ring-necked pheasant). RNAcentral describes it as "lncRNA (ENSPCLG00000017066.1)". The record is from RNAcentral. Lineage: Eukaryota; Metazoa; Chordata; Aves; Galliformes; Phasianidae.
AGACCUUCAGAUCAACAUCCUUACAAAUCCUGACUGCUUGUCAAAAACACAAUUUGAAAUUACUGGAUUGCCAGAGAGAAGAAACCAGGUGAGAAUCCAGUUUUACAGAACAGCAUCCAGCCAUCCUCACACUUGAAAGGUGCCAGCUGGCCAUUAUUGCUACAGAGGUGUUACAGACAAAUGCAUCUCUAUAGAUGUAGACAGCAUUCGUGUUACAUCCUGAUAGGAAAAGAUUCUCAUAGACUGGUGUGUGAUCACAUAGUUAAUGCUUCUGUGUUGCUGAGGUAAGGUGCAAAGAUAACUGUGAAUCUAACUUCCCUCAAAUGUUAAACUUGCAGUUUAAAAAAGCUUGUAUCUUGCUGCUACUUGCAUCUCUCUUCCUCAGUUUAUAACAAAGAGAACUAAAUUUUGCAAAGAAAUCAUGUCUAAUCUGCUCAAAUGGUUUAACAGCAGAACUGGAAAGUGUAUUUACUGCACAGACAUGUUGAUGCUUGUAUCAGUAAAACUGUUAUAUAUUUCACUUAAGUUGAAAAUUAAUUAAUAUUUGUAACCUAAUGUUUCCUAACAUGGGGGUUUUAGUCAAAGCCUAUCUCAAGUAUCUCGUAUUUAGUCAAGCAAAUUCCUUACUUUAAAUAAUACUUGUUUCUACUUUUCUCAUUUCAGUAGGAAAAAAAUUAUCCCCUAGUCUUUUUCUUCGUUCUUGCUCUCACUGUUCCUUACUCUUGUGUUUUUUUUUUUUUUUUUUGCAGGCUCUCUUGUACUGCUUGCUUCUGUCCCUGUCUGAACAUCUGCUUCUUUGCACUAUGACUCCUGCCUCAGUUCUUCCCCCUCUAGGCACAUUAUCGCUAUAUUCCAUACUUGGUGUAUGGGAAUUGCUAAGUCAUGGCCUGAACCAGUGAUUGAGCACCUGGUGAAGGAACACAGCCAGCCGUAGGAGCACAGAUGAAAGCAGUUCACCUGUGCAACCAGAAGAAGUGAAACCAAGUUCUUCCCCUCCCUAAAGAUGAGCUGAGACAAAGGUAGGUUUUCUAGCUGGAGAUCCCUCCUUUUGGAAUAUUUAGUGAGUGUUUAUUCUUGGGACAGGUAAGCAAAAAUUAUUUUCUUUAACUGAAUUACGAUUAUCACCCUUUUUUCUAGUUUUAGAAUUGGUUAUCUGCCAUCGUCUUUCCUAACAUUUUGACUGAACAAGGUCUGAUCAAUCUG